AUUAAAGUUGUUGCAGUUAAAAAGCUCGUAGUUAGACUUGUGUGCGCUGUCCGCGGGUGGCCUGCGCCCAAAAGGGCGUUUCGGUUCGGCCCCGGUGGCGCCUUGAAAUCUGCAGCUGGGGGGACGUUGGCCUUAACUGGUCGGCGACCGCACGCCGGCUGCUCGGUUACUGUGAGAAAAUUAGAGUGUUCAAGGCAGGCAUUGGGUGCAAUUGAAUACAUUAGCAUGGAAUAAUAAAAUAUGGCUCCUGCCGUAUUUUGUUGGUUUUGACUGGUGGGAGUAAUGAUUGAUAGGUACGGUUGGGGGUGCUAGUAUUGAGCGGCCAGAGGUGAAAUUCAUGGAUUCGCUCAAGACUAACUUAUGCGAAAGCAUUCACCAAGGACGUCCUCUUUAAUCAAGAACGAAAGUUGGGGGAUCGAAGACGAUCAGAUACCGUCGUAGUCUCAACCAUAAACUAUGUCGACUUGGGAUCGGCGGUAGUUUUUUCAUUAAGACACUGUCGGGACCACGGGAGAAAUCAAAGUGUCUGGACUCUGGGGGAAGUAUGGUCGCAAGGCUGAAACUUGAAGGAAUUGACGGAAGGGCACCACCAGGAGUGGAGCCUGCGGCUUAAUUUGACCCAACACGGGGAAACUUACCAGGUCCAGAGAUGUAGAGGAUCGACAGAUUGAAGCUCUUUCUUGAUCACUUCGGUGGUGGUGCAUGGCCGUUCUUAGUUGGUGGAGUGAUUUGUCUGGUUAAUUCCGUUAACGAACGAGACCUCAGCCUGCUAGUGUAGUCGGCUGGAUUGCCUUUGGCGAUCCGUGAUUUCGACUUCUUAGAGGGACAAUCGACGCGCAGUCGAUGGAAGUUUGAGGCAAUAACAGGUCUGUGAUGCCCUUAGAUGUUCUGGGCCGCACGCGCGCUACACUGCUGGGCUCAGCGAGUUUUACUUGGCCGAGAGGCCCGGUUAAUCUUGUGAAAUCCCAGCGUGCUUGGGCUCGCCUCCUGCAACUGGAGGCGCCAACGAGGAAUUCCUAGUAGACGCAGGUCAUCAACCUGCAUCGAUUACGUCCCUGCCCUUUGUACACACCGCCCGUCGUUCCAUAAGGGUGAGGCAUCCGGUGAAUUCUCGGGAGAGCCUGGGCGUGGCCAGCAAUGGUCUGCUCGGGUUUGAACUUGCAUAAACUUGGUGCCUAUGAUUAGGG
RNAcentral lists this ribosomal RNA (1187 nucleotides) under metagenome. Its description in RNAcentral is "SSU rRNA". It matches the Rfam family "Eukaryotic small subunit ribosomal RNA", at positions 603 to 1783 of the family's 1831-position model. The record is from RNAcentral.